This is a non-coding RNA of Acanthosepion pharaonis, 102 nucleotides long. The record is from the annotation of a GenBank genome assembly. Lineage: Eukaryota; Metazoa; Mollusca; Cephalopoda; Sepiida; Sepiidae.
AGCAUUGAAAAACCGGUUCUCAGAAGGUCACCGAAGUUAAGCAACGUUGAGCCUGUUUAGUACAUAGAUGGGUGACUGCUUAGGACUACCAGGAGCUGCAAG